RNAcentral lists this long non-coding RNA (950 nucleotides) under Panax ginseng (ginseng). RNAcentral describes it as "long non-coding RNA (PGIN_LNC002781)". The record is from RNAcentral. Lineage: Eukaryota; Viridiplantae; Streptophyta; Magnoliopsida; Apiales; Araliaceae.
CUCAUUCGAUUCCUUUUCGAUUUAUUUUCCUCCCCUUCAUCUUUGGUUUACUUACUCAGCUGCCUUUUAAUUGGAAUUCCAACACGAGUUAACUCGAUUGAUUUACUUUCGCGAAUCUGCGUCGUUUUCUAUUCUGAAUUCCAAAUCCCAUAUACAAUUGAUAAUCAUCCUCAGCCACCGAUCGCACUAAACUCUUCGGAUUUCUCUCCUCUUUCUCUUCUUCCUCCGUCUUCUCAAUUAUCUCAUCCUCUUAUAUUUCAUCUUUCAAAACCUUCCCCUUCCCCUUCCCCUUCACUUCACUCUUCCUUUCAAGAAAUCUGUCUGAAACUCACCCACCAAAACCCUAAUAAAGAAUUGUUGCAAUUCUUCCAAAUAGAGGGAAAGAGAGUAGAAAUGGCAACAUCUUCACUGGGUUCGUCAACUCUUGCUCAGUCACAGAUCAAUGGUUUUGGUGGGUGUCUUAAGCUUCGAAACCCUUCUCUCUCUAACCCCAAUUCGCUCCUUUUUUUGAGGUAUUAUUCUACUGAUUUAUUCUUCAAGUAUGUUUUUAGUUUUUACUUUCUGAUUUCCUCUUGGCUAUUAUAAUUAAAUGAAUUUGUAUAAGAUGAGUAAACCAAAAUUAUUUAUUUAUUAUUUUCUUAAAAUAUUUCACCAAUGACGGUGGAUAACUAAAGGAUCUGGGUAAUAUUUCAACAUGAUAUUGAUUUAGAUCAUUGGAAAUGUUAGAUUUUUUUUAAAUCUAAAGGUGGCCGAAGGGAAUGUUGUUUAACGUGUUUGCCUUUGAAGGAAUCAAAUCAAUUCAUUUUAAAAUUUGUUCAUUACAGGUUUGUGUAUUUGCUUAGUUGACAACUUGACAUUCAAAUUAAUGACUGUUGUGGCUUGAGAUGGAAGCUACAUAUUAUUUGGCUCUAAAUCACAAUUAAAUUAUUGGGUGAAUUUCUAUAUCGGUG